CCACCCCCAGGCUGGCAGGAUGGACCCACACAGUUUUACCACAUUUGGAAGAACCAUCGCUUAGAAACGUUUCCUGGGAUGUACUGAAAUGGAUAUUAUGUGUUACUUGGAGAUGGCGGUGCAGUAGUUCAUGCUGAUGCUGCAGAGCUGAGGACAGCCCCUCUGGAGGAGGCGAGCUGUCUUGUCCGUCAGCAGCAUGCAGCCGCUCAGGUCCAGCUCCCGCAGGAAGUGACCUGUGCCCGCCAGGUACUGCACUGCCAUGUCUGUCAUCUGGGAGAGAACAACAGACUGAUGCUUUGAAAAAGAUCAUUUCUCAUUCAGCACUUAUUCAUCCAUUGUUUUUUGCUGAGGUGGGUAUGACAUCAAAUUCAGUAUUUAAACAUUCCUUUCCAAUAGUGAGUGGGAUGUGGUGUGAGCACCUUUGGGCAGCCUCGCAUGUUCAGGGAGAUGAGGGCCCUGCAGUAGAAUGCCAGGGCCUUGAUGGCCUGGUCAGACAGGGACACGCAGUGAGACACGUCCAGCUGCUCCAGACCCGGCACCUCUCUGCAGAACUUCUACCCUCGUGAGGUGAGAAAGUAUGGGAGAGAAGAGGGCCGAAGUGAGAAGAGUAGGAGAAGGAGGGGCAAAUGACAAUCUAGUUUAAAAGGUGCUGAUGACACGUUGUCUCCUUGACCAGAGGAACUCCCGUCCUGCACCUCUAUGCUGAUGUCUGUGAUCCACACACACUCAGAGGCCACCAGCUUCUUUAGACCACAGUUUCCACCAAGUAACGUCAGUCCCUGUGAACACAACACAGUCAGGGCUACAGAGAGCAGUCAGUCCCUGUGAACACAGUGUGUGUGUGUGCUCUGUCACACCUGGUCCUGGACGUUGCAGCCGCUAAUGUCCAGAGAGAUGACGGAGCUGUUGCUUAGCCACUCCAGGGCUGCGUCAGUCAGGUUUUCACAGUAACGCACACUCAGGUGCCUCAGCUGGGAGCACCUUCACACACAUACACAUUUAAAAACCUGGGAAAAAUAAUGCAUGCACAUGCAUGUCUAUGGAUGUCUACUGGAACACUCACAAAUAUAUAAACACAUAAUAGGUAUUGGGCAGUCUGUAUAUGUGUUUAAUCACUGUAAAUAUAUGUAUGUCCAUGCCCUGUAUAGUACUGUCUGUCCUUGUAUUGUUUUUGUAUUCUGUAUAGUUUUUUUAUUCGAUGUGUCUGAAAUAAAGUUGAAUUGAACUUGAA
This is a long non-coding RNA of Osmerus eperlanus (European smelt), 1231 nucleotides long. RefSeq lists it as uncharacterized. NCBI's taxonomy places the organism in Eukaryota, Metazoa, Chordata, Actinopteri, Osmeriformes, Osmeridae. The record is from RefSeq and is a predicted model, not a curated record. The transcript is spliced from 2 exons.